Molecule: long non-coding RNA, 985 nt
Filed under: Homo sapiens (human)
Lineage: Eukaryota; Metazoa; Chordata; Mammalia; Primates; Hominidae
Description: HSALNT0131457
Source: RNAcentral
UUCCUCACAAAACCUGUUCCAAAAAUGAUUUCUUACAAGAAUAUACAUGCAGAGACAUCAAAAACUUCUGAAAUCCACUAGCACAAAUAGAUGGUGGUGAUGAAUAAAAUAAAUGGCUCUCCUUAGGAGCCUUGAAAAUGACUAUGGUUUCUCUGCACUGUGAGAGCGACAUGUGCAGCACCUGGGCAGGCGUGAGGGGUGGACUUACUUUGUGGAACACAUGGGAGCAUGAAAGCAGCACCUGUUCAUGAGGAAACAGAACGACGUUGAAGUUUACAAAAGAGAAGCAGCAUGUAUCCAACAGUUAAAAUCCUGAAUGCUUAGAAGGGAAAGUGUGCUCACAAGAAAACUUCACCUUUCUGUGACCCAAAUUCCCCACUAAACAGUGAUAUACUGGGCUGUGACAAAAGACUGAAGCUUAGACCAAAUGAAGAAGAAGGCAGUGGGUACUUAGUAGAAGGGACAGCCGCCAGCCCACCAGCGAUGGGGCAUGGUUGCACGGAGUCCCCUUGCAGGAGAGAGCGCUGUUUCACCUUCUCCCAUUCAUCUGAUGACAGUGGAGGUGGUGGAGGCCCAAUGAGGCCCAACUUCUGUGCUAAAGUAAGACAGCACAGGACAGGAGUUAGAGUGUCUUUUAGCAUAUGGCACCCACCUAUAACUUUAAUGACACCAUUUGCAAACAAAGAUUAAAGAACUACAUAUAGAUCACAUACUUUAUUUCACAAUAGAAGCUGUCCAUUGGUAUCCACAGGGAAUGUGUUCCAGGACAUUCCAAGGAUGCUCAAGUCCCUGAUAGAAGAUGGUGGAGUAUUUGCAUACAACCCAUGCAUAUCCUCCUGUAUACUGCCAGUCAUCUCGAUUACCAAUAAUUCCUAAUGCAAGUGCUAUGUAAAUAGCUGUUAUACUAUAUUGUUUUUAAUCUGUAUUAUUUUUAUUAUAUUGUUGUAUUGUUAUUUUUUAUUCAUUUAUUAAAAUUUUGAUCUGU